CACGUAGGGUGCGAGUGUUGUCCGGAAUUAUUGGGCGUAAAGAGCUCGUAGGCGGUGUGUCGCGUCGGCCGUGAAAACCUGCAGCUUAACUGUGGGCGUGCGGUCGAUACGGGCAUCACUGGAGUUCGGCAGGGGAGACUGGAAUUCCUGGUGUAGCGGUGAAAUGCGCAGAUAUCAGGAGGAACACCGGUGGCGAAGGCGGGUCUCUGGGCCGAUACUGACGCUGAGGAGCGAAAGCGUGGGGAGCAAACAGG
This 254-nucleotide ribosomal RNA is filed under the name uncultured bacterium. Its description in RNAcentral is "partial 16S ribosomal RNA". It matches the Rfam family "Bacterial small subunit ribosomal RNA", at positions 524 to 776 of the family's 1533-position model. The record is from RNAcentral.